This 513-nucleotide ribosomal RNA is filed under the name uncultured bacterium. Its description in RNAcentral is "bacterial SSU rRNA". It matches the Rfam family "Bacterial small subunit ribosomal RNA", at positions 33 to 518 of the family's 1533-position model. The record is from RNAcentral.
ACGCUGGCGGCGUGCCUAAUACAUGCAAGUCGAACGGUCUUUUCUAUGGAAGCUUGCUUCCACUGAGAAGAUAGUGGCGAACGGGUGAGUAACACGUGGGUAACCUGCCCAUAAGAGGGGGAUAACAUCCGGAAACGGGUGCUAAUACCGCAUAGUUUUCUUGAUUGCAUGAUCGGGAAAGGAAAGACGGCCUUUGUGCUGUCGCUUAUGGAUGGACCCGCGGCGUAUUAGUUAGUUGGUGAGGUAACGGCUCACCAAGACGAUGAUACGUAGCCGACCUGAGAGGGUGAUCGGCCACAUUGGGACUGAGACACGGCCCAAACUCCUACGGGAGGCAGCAGUAGGGAAUCUUCCGCAAUGGACGAAAGUCUGACGGAGCAACGCCGCGUGAGUGAAGAAAGGUUUUCGGAUCGUAAAACUCUGUUGUCAGAGAAGAACAAGUUGGAGAGUAACUGCUCCAGCCUUGACGGUAUCUGACCAGAAAGCCACGGCUAACUACGUGCCAGCCGCCGC